GAUGAACGUUGGCGGCGUGCCUAAUACAUGCAAGUCGAACGAAGACUGUAGUAAUACUGUCUUAGUGGCGAACGGGUGAGUAACGCGUGGGUGACCUGCCCCGAAGUGUGGGAUAACAGUCCGAAAGGAUUGCUAAUACUGCAUAAUAUCCAAGAGAUUAGACGCUUUUGGAUUAAAGGAGUAAUUCGCUUCGGGAGGGGCCCGCGUCCCAUCAGCUAGUUGGUAAGGUAAUGGCUUACCAAGGCGAUGACGGGUAGGGGACCUGAGAGGGUGGCCCCCCCACAAUGGAACUGAAACACGGUCCAUACACCUACGGGUGGCAGCAGUAGGGAAUAUUAGUAAUGGGCGAAAGCCUGAACUAGCAACGCCGCGUGUGCGAAGAAGGCCUUCGGGUCGUAAAGCACUUUUUGAGAGGAUGAGGAAGGACGGUACUCUCAGAAUAAGCUCGGCUAACUACGUG
This 460-nucleotide ribosomal RNA is filed under the name uncultured bacterium. RNAcentral's name for it is "bacterial SSU rRNA". It matches the Rfam family "Bacterial small subunit ribosomal RNA", at positions 28 to 507 of the family's 1533-position model. The record is from RNAcentral.